RNAcentral lists this unclassified non-coding RNA (252 nucleotides) under plant metagenome. RNAcentral describes it as "partial contains small subunit ribosomal RNA, internal transcribed spacer 1, and 5.8S ribosomal RNA". The stretch from base 1 to 54 matches the Rfam family "Eukaryotic small subunit ribosomal RNA", at positions 1778 to 1831 of the family's 1831-position model. The record is from RNAcentral.
GGAAGUAAAGGUCGUAACAAGGUUUCCGUAGGUGAACCUGCGGAAGGAUCAUUACAGAGUUCAUGCCCUCACGGGUAGAUCUCCCACCCUUGAAUAUUUAUACCUUAGUUGCUUUGGCAGGCCGUUAGGCUCCGGCCCGACUACCGGCCCCGGCUGGUAAGCGCCCGCCAGAGGACCCAAAACCCUGAAUAUUAGUGUCGUCUGAGUACUAUAUAAUAGUUAAAACUUUCAACAACGGAUCUCUUGGUUCUG